UACGGGGGGAGCAAGCGUUGUUCGGAUUUACUGGGCGUAAAGGGCGCGUAGGCGGUCAGCACAAGUCAGUUGUGAAAUCUCCGGGCUUAACUCGGAAAGGUCAACUGAUACUGUGCGACUAGAGUGCAGAAGGGGCAACUGGAAUUCUCGGUGUAGCGGUGAAAUGCGUAGAUAUGCGGAGGAACACCGAUGGCGAAGGCAAUCCCCUGGGCCUGCACUGACGCUCAUGCACGAAAGCGUGGGGAGCAAACAGG
This 254-nucleotide ribosomal RNA is filed under the name uncultured bacterium. RNAcentral's name for it is "partial 16S ribosomal RNA". It matches the Rfam family "Bacterial small subunit ribosomal RNA", at positions 524 to 776 of the family's 1533-position model. The record is from RNAcentral.